CGUGAUCUAGCUUAAUCGGCAAAGCACAAGACUCAUAAUCUUGAUGAUCCUGGUUCGAAUCCAGGGGUCACGACCA
Molecule: transfer RNA, 76 nt
Filed under: hydrothermal vent metagenome
Description: tRNA-Met-CAT
Rfam family: tRNA
About the family: Transfer RNA (tRNA) molecules are approximately 80 nucleotides in length. Their secondary structure includes four short double-helical elements and three loops (D, anti-codon, and T loops). Further hydrogen bonds mediate the characteristic L-shaped molecular structure. tRNAs have two regions of fundamental functional importance: the anti-codon, which is responsible for specific mRNA codon recognition, and the 3' end, to which the tRNAs corresponding amino acid is attached (by aminoacyl-tRNA synthetases). tRNAs cope with the degeneracy of the genetic code in two manners: having more than one tRNA (with a specific anti-codon) for a particular amino acid; and 'wobble' base-pairing, i.e. permitting non-standard base-pairing at the 3rd anti-codon position.
Source: RNAcentral